GAAAGCUCUGAGGUCAUCGGCUCAGAAGCCUCUACACGACCUCCUCCACGUAUGCAUUACUCCAAGUUUGGGACAUUGAGGUCUGUGAUGAUGCCAAAGAGUAUCGAGCCGCUAAAGAAUCGAAGCUGUGGCCCAAUCCUAUGAUCCGACUCCUACUCACCCCUCCGGUGAUCUUGAGCCAUCCCUUAAGGUCAAGGAGGGGCUAAGUGGAUGGGUCAUCAUCGUGCUGUGCAA
This 234-nucleotide long non-coding RNA is filed under the name Elaeis guineensis (African oil palm). Its description in RNAcentral is "long non-coding RNA (EGUI_LNC071733)". The record is from RNAcentral. Lineage: Eukaryota; Viridiplantae; Streptophyta; Magnoliopsida; Arecales; Arecaceae.